UUACGAAACAACAAGAGCUGUCCGUAAGACAGCGCGCUCGACUUUUUUAUUGCUUGCCAAUAAAAAAAGUUUUUGCAGUAAAAGGCAAUACAAGAAUCUCUGUAUUUUUAAAGUGAACAAUGGCCAUGAGCAUUAAGAUAUUUAGUGAAGAAUUAUUUUACUGAAUUGUGUGAUACCCUUGAACACUGCAGCAAUGUUUAUAUGACAUAAUUUAUGGUAAAGUGAACAAGUGGAUAGGAAUGAAUUUUUUUAGAUUUUUUUAAGUUUUUUAGUGCUUGCCUAUAAUACAAAACAUUGACAGUUAAGGGCCAUAAUUCAAAUAAAAUCUUUGACAGAAUUACCUUCUCCUGGACAUGUUUGGGAAUCAUGAUUGUAAACAAGUAUUCCAACUUUCAAAUUAAUAUCUCAAACAGUUCAGUCAAAAAGUGGACUGGUACUAAAAACUUAACCAAGAUUCUAAGUCGAUAAAAGGCCUUAAUUUUUAAAACAAAUCCUUGACAAAAGUUACCUUCUCUUGCGUACAGAUGGGGGUAAUGAUGUGAAAUAGCAUUAAAAGUUUCAAAGCAAUAUCUCAAAGGGUUAAGGCAAUAAGUGGAUUUUACCCAUAUUCAAUGUAUUUUCUAAGUCAAAAAGGGGCAUAAUUCUGUCAAAAACCUUGACAGAGUUAUGUCCUCUUGUCUGUUUGAUGAAGGUCGUGAUGGUAAACAAGUAUGGUCAGUUUCAAAGCAAUACCUCCAAUGGUUUUGAAAUAAAGUGAGGUGGUACAAAAAACUUAACCAAGCUCAAUACAC
Molecule: long non-coding RNA, 791 nt
Organism: Ruditapes philippinarum (Manila clam)
Lineage: Eukaryota; Metazoa; Mollusca; Bivalvia; Venerida; Veneridae
Exons: 3
Source: RefSeq, a predicted model, not a curated record